GAUGCAGCGUUAUCCGGAAUCAUUGGGCGUAAAGCGCCUGUAGGUUGUUUAAUAAGUCUGUUGUUAAAGACUAGGGCUUAACCCUAGAAAAGCAAUGGAAACUACUAGACUAGAGUAUGGCAGGGGUAGAGGGAAUUUCUAGUGUAGCGGUGAAAUGCGUAGAUAUUAGAAAGAACACCGGUGGCGAAAGCGCUCUACUGGACCAUUACUGACACUCAGAGGCGAAAGCUAGGGUAGCAAAAGGGAUUAGAUACCCCUGUAGUCCUAGCCGUAAACGAUGGAUACUACAUGUUGUGUUUAUUUCACAGUAUGGUAGCUAACGCGUUAAGUAUCCCGCCUGGGGAGUACGCUCGCAAGGGUGAAACUCAAAGGAAUUGACGGGGGCCCGCACAAGCGGUGGAGCAUGUGGUUUAAUUCGAUGCAACGCGAAGAACCUUACCAGGGCUUGACAUACUGCGAAUCUUUCCGAAAGGAAAGAGUGCCUUCGGGAAUGCAGAUACAGGUGGUGCAUGGCUGUCGUCAGCUCGUGUCGUGAGAUGUUGGGUUAAGUCCCGCAACGAGCGCAACCCUUGUUUUUAGUUACCAAUUCGUUGGGUUUUCUAGAAAGACUGCCGGUGACAAACCGGAGGAAGGUGAGGAUGACGUCAAGUCAGCAUGCCCCUUAUGUCCUGGGCUACACACGUGCUACAAUGGUUAGGACAAAGAGUUGCGAGCUUGUGAAAGUCAGCUA
RNAcentral lists this ribosomal RNA (730 nucleotides) under Dicrateria rotunda. Its description in RNAcentral is "SSU rRNA". It matches the Rfam family "Bacterial small subunit ribosomal RNA", at positions 531 to 1270 of the family's 1533-position model. Lineage: Eukaryota; Haptophyta; Isochrysidales; Isochrysidaceae. The record is from RNAcentral.